UACGGAGGGGGCUAGCGUUGUUCGGAAUUACUGGGCGUAAAGCGCGCGUAGGCGGACCAGAAAGUUGGGGGUGAAAUCCCGGGGCUCAACCUCGGAACUGCCUUCAAAACUCCUGGUCUGGAGUUCGAGAGAGGUGAGUGGAAUUCCGAGUGUAGAGGUGAAAUUCGUAGAUAUUCGGAGGAACACCAGUGGCGAAGGCGGCUCACUGGCUCGAUACUGACGCUGAGGUGCGAAAGCGUGGGGAGCAAACAGGAUUAGAUACCCUUGUAGUCC
RNAcentral lists this ribosomal RNA (273 nucleotides) under uncultured prokaryote. Its description in RNAcentral is "partial 16S ribosomal RNA". It matches the Rfam family "Bacterial small subunit ribosomal RNA", at positions 524 to 796 of the family's 1533-position model. The record is from RNAcentral.